UAUUUGAAUUUCACAUCAAAUUUUAAUAAAAUAAAUUGUUAAGUUGAAUUGUAUCUCUUUAGUGCAACUUUCUAUCUUUUUUUCUAGUUUCUAAAGUACUAGAAUGGGAAUCACUACCUUUGACUUGCAUCUAGCAGCUAGUCUGAUCAUUUCCCAUCAUUUAUCUGCCGCAGAUGUGGCAUUGUAUGGAGUUGGCUCAUUUAUGGCAAAUUAUGGCUCAAAUCGUAAUGGGAAGCUUGCCUCAGAGUCGGGUGAUGGAUAGCCUCAAAUGCUAACGAUCUUGGGACUGGAUAUUCAUCCACGAAUAUCUAACAGAAAAUCUAAUCAAAGAAACGAACUUCGCUUUGCUUAAUAAGCCCGAAGAACUGGGCCCUCAAGAGGUCCACAAGCCAAAAGUCGGGCACACAAUCUGGGACCAUGUUGGUGCCUUUGUUCUUGUUGGAGGCACAAGUGCUUAACAAGCUGUUUUGCAUGGGGCCAGAUCUCUCAGGUGCCCUACGAACCACAAAACCACCGAGCCACCGAACCACUACCAAAGCCCGGUAGCCCUGAAACAAUGCACUUAAUGUGGGAAAAAACGUCAAGAAUUUGCACGCCAGCCCGGGGACCACAAGAGAAUUCGCCCAAUUUCCCUCGGUGCCUCGUUCCUUCGACCCCAGCUUCUUCAUAUGCAAAAAGCCUGCAUUGAGGCAGCUGCAAGUUAAGCCAAAAGUUUAUACCCUUUCAAGCAUUUUUCUGAUAGGGGUUGGUUAACCAAUACCAAAGUUAUUCGUAUAACACUUCAAAAAUGGGUUUAGUAAACUGGAAAUUAUAAUGUUUUACAUAUAAUAUUCUAAGCAUGUAUAUCUUAAAUUUUGAUAACUUAAAGAAGAAACUUUAAAAUAGAGUGUAUUUAAAGUUGCGGUUUUAAAGAAACAGUUUAUAGGCCUUACCUGCAACUUGAACUUAUCUGGCCAACUUAGCUCUGGGCACGAAACAAUUCACACUUGGCCAAGAGCUCGUGGUGCAGGCGGGCGGAGCGGGGGAAGGACGGGCCCGUUGCGUGUCGGCUGCUCUGUGGCCGCUGAUCAUUUGCUUAAAUAGCCCAAAGGGGACAACGGACGAUCCGAUUCAUUGCGGAAUAUGGGUGGCUCGGCUCAAAUCUCAUUUGGCCACAAGGAACAGGACCAUGAACCAGAACAAAAAGGUGUUGAGUGUGUGGAGCGGAUUUUGCGUGUUUAUCGCGAUGCACAAGCCAAGGAAAAUUAUUAAGGUUUUUAAUGGUUCAAUGGAGUGGGGAGCAGUGGCGAGUGUAUGAGUUUUAAGUUAUGUAUGCCUUAUUGUUUUGGAAUCUAAAACAUAUGAAACACACUCUUCCCUCUUCGUAGAUACCACAGUCAUAGAUGUUGAAGAUCAGACCUCUAACAAUCGCCAUCUGGAAGAGAGACAACCAGAGUCGAAGCGAUUAUGAGAAUCCCAGUUGGCACCAUGACACGAUACCAGUGGGUUUUCCAUGCCAUUCCCUCACCGUUUCCAGGUGUUUUUUUUUCUAGCCACCCACAUAAAAACGAAUGUGGUUUACCCACCGGCUGCUCACUGGCGGGCUAAUAGACAUUUUGCCUAUUUUAAUAAGUGGCAAAAAGGCGUGAAAUAGUGACUGCCUUCGGGAUGUUUGGGAAAUACCUUCGGUGGGCUCUAUCGCAGCCUAUCGAUGGCAGGAGCUGCAGCAUUGGCCACCUUGGUGGCUGAACUGGAAGUUAAAGUUGUUGCCUUGCUCGCCAGCUAAAUAUGAUUUUUUCUGCAGCUGUUUUUUGUCUCUACCUUUCCCCAUACCUGACUGCCAGUCCUACGAAAGAACACUUAGCGAAAAUUCGAGCAAAUAGUAUUAGAAGAAGUAGUAGCAGUAGAAAAUUUGGUCUCUAUAUAAAGAAGCUCAAAAAUGCUUUGAAAUGUAUACUUCUUGUGGUAUUUGAUUUCAU
Drosophila simulans is the source of this 1958-nucleotide long non-coding RNA. RefSeq lists it as uncharacterized. The record is from RefSeq and is a predicted model, not a curated record. The transcript is spliced from 3 exons. NCBI's taxonomy places the organism in Eukaryota, Metazoa, Arthropoda, Insecta, Diptera, Drosophilidae.